GACGAACGCUGGCGGCGUGCUUAACACAUGCAAGUCGAACGGUGAAGGGAUCAGCUUGCUGGUUCUGGACGAGUGGCGAACGGGUGAGUAACACGUGAGUAACCUGCCCCCUUCUUCUGGAUAACCGCAUGAAAGUUUGGCUAAUACGGGAUAUUCUGCGCCUGCUGCAUGGUGGGUGGGGGAAAGAUAUUGUUUCGGUGGGGGGUGGGCUCGCGGCCUAUCAGCUUGUUGGUGGGGUGAUGGCCUACCAAGGCGGUGACGGGUAGCCGGCCUGAGAGGGUGGACGGUGACAAUGGGACUGAGACACGGACCAGACUCCGACGGGAGGGAGCAGUGUGGAAUAUUGCACAGUGGGCGCAAGCCUGAUGCAGAGACGCCGCGUGAGGGAUGGAGGCCUUCGGGUUGUGAACCUCUUUGGCCAGUGAAGCAGGCCUGUACCAUGUGGGUGGGUUGACGGUAGCUGGAUAAGAAGCGCCGGCUAACUACGUG
This 489-nucleotide ribosomal RNA is filed under the name uncultured bacterium. RNAcentral describes it as "partial 16S ribosomal RNA". It matches the Rfam family "Bacterial small subunit ribosomal RNA", at positions 28 to 507 of the family's 1533-position model. The record is from RNAcentral.